UACGUAGGGUGCAAGCGUUAAUCGGAAUUACUGGGCGUAAAGGGCGCGUAGGCGGCCUUCUAAGUCGAACGUGAAAUCCCCGGGCUCAACCCGGGAACUGCGUCCGAUACUGGGAGGCUUGAAUCCGGGAGAGGGAUGUGGAAUUCCGAGUGUAGAGGUGAAAUUCGUAGAUAUUCGGAAGAACACCAGUGGCGAAGGCGGCUCACUGGACCGGCAUUGACGCUGAGGUGCGAAAGCGUGGGGAGCAAACAGG
This 253-nucleotide ribosomal RNA is filed under the name uncultured bacterium. RNAcentral describes it as "partial 16S ribosomal RNA". It matches the Rfam family "Bacterial small subunit ribosomal RNA", at positions 524 to 776 of the family's 1533-position model. The record is from RNAcentral.